RNAcentral lists this ribosomal RNA (601 nucleotides) under Fusarium solani. RNAcentral's name for it is "eukaryotic LSU rRNA". It matches the Rfam family "Eukaryotic large subunit ribosomal RNA", at positions 1 to 600 of the family's 3401-position model. Lineage: Eukaryota; Fungi; Ascomycota; Sordariomycetes; Hypocreales; Nectriaceae. The record is from RNAcentral.
AACUUCUGAAUGUUGACCUCGAAUCAGGUAGGAAUACCCGCUGAACUUAAGCAUAUCAAUAAGCGGAGGAAAAGAAACCAACAGGGAUUGCCCCAGUAACGGCGAGUGAAGCGGCAACAGCUCAAAUUUGAAAUCUGGCUCUCGGGCCCGAGUUGUAAUUUGUAGAGGAUGCUUUUGGUGAGGUGCCUUCCGAGUUCCCUGGAACGGGACGCCAUAGAGGGUGAGAGCCCCGUCUGGUUGGACACCGAUCCUCUGUAAAGCUCCUUCGACGAGUCGAGUAGUUUGGGAAUGCUGCUCUAAAUGGGAGGUAUAUGUCUUCUAAAGCUAAAUACCGGCCAGAGACCGAUAGCGCACAAGUAGAGUGAUCGAAAGAUGAAAAGAACUUUGAAAAGAGAGUUAAACAGUACGUGAAAUUGUUGAAAGGGAAGCGCUUGUGACCAGACUUGGGCUUGGUUGAUCAUCCGGGGUUCUCCCCGGUGCACUCUUCCGGCUCAGGCCAGCAUCAGUUCGCCCUGGGGGAUAAAGGCUUCGGGAAUGUGGCUCUCUCCGGGGAGUGUUAUAGCCCGCUGCGUAAUACCCUGUGGCGGACUGAGGUUCGCGC